This 489-nucleotide ribosomal RNA is filed under the name uncultured Penicillium. Its description in RNAcentral is "partial 18S ribosomal RNA". It matches the Rfam family "Eukaryotic small subunit ribosomal RNA", at positions 539 to 1016 of the family's 1831-position model. Lineage: Eukaryota; Fungi; Ascomycota; Eurotiomycetes; Eurotiales; Aspergillaceae. The record is from RNAcentral.
CUCUAUGGAGGGCAAGUUUGGUGCCAGCAGCCGCGGUAAUUCCAGCUCCAAUAGGGUAUAUUAAAGUUGUUGCAGUUAAAAAGCUUGUAGUUGAACCUUGGGCCUGGCUGGCCGGUCCCCCUCACGGCGAGUACUGGUCCGGCAGGCCCUCUCUUCCUGGGGAACCCCAUGCCCUCCAUUGGCUGUGGGGGGAACCAGGACUUUUACUUUGAAAAAAUUAGAGUGUUCAAAGCAGGCCUUUGCUCGAAUACAUUAGCAUGGAAUAAUAGAAUAGGACGUGAGGUUUUAUUUUGUUGGUUUUUAGGGCCCCUGUAAUGAUUAAUAGGGAUAGUUGGGGGGGUCCGUAUUUCAGUGUCCGAGGGGAAAUUUUUGGGUUUGAUUAAGGAUAAAUAAUGGGAAAGCCAUUGCCCAGGAAGGUUUCCUUUAACCAUGAACGAAAGUUAUGGAUCGAAGAGAUCAGAAUGACGCGGCUGCCCCCUCAGGGCCCGG